GGGAGAGGGUUGGGGAUGAAAGGUGCCUUGCCAGCAACACCAUCUCCUACAAACUGACAUUUCAGAAACAAUAAUGACUAGUUCAGUUACAUGGCUGGAAAGUGGGAAUGAAGGAUACCAUUGCUAGCAUUGGGCACGUGUCUGUAUAUAUAUGCAAUCCCUUGCUGCUCAGCCCCCGUCAUAGCUCAGAAAGCAUCAAAAGCCUCUGCUCUCUAGAACUGAAGCCAAGGCCAUCCAUGCCCCAACCACAGGAUCCCAGUGACCAACAGUCAGUGAAACAGAAAGGAUCUCGGGACAUCAGCCGGUCGGGAGGAUUCCUGGAAGCUGCCUGCUUCUCGUGCUGACACACAGACGGUGGUGCAGGGGAGAUAGACCCACUCGAGCCUUAUCAGGCUGCUCUCCUCAGGGCGUCGCCUGCGGCAGGCCCUCCACCCUAACCACAGCAAGUCCGCCUGCUCACAACAUUCCAGCCUCCCCCCACCUCCACCCUUAUCAGCACCAAGCAACCAGAGGGACGCUGAGUGAAUGGUUAACUGGAGAAACCCUCUUUUGGGGUAUGCAAAUGAAGCCAGCCCAUAAUAAGGAUGUAAGAGGGAGUGUGUGUCUCUGUGUGUGUCUGAGAGAGCAAAAGCGAGACAGCAAGAGAGAGAGCGAGUAUGAGCGAGGGCGUGAGUGUGAGGGCCAGAGAGAGAGAGUGAGUGUGUGUGUGAGGGAGAGGGAGAGAAACCGGGGAGGGGUGGAGGGAGAACAAGAGGGAGACCAAGGCAAUAAAGAGGCAAGUCUGAGCUCUCGAGCCUGAGGCACUGGUCAGUGGCAGGAGAGUGCGGGAACCACGAACCCUGCAUUGGGAGGGAGUGUCGUUUCUCACAGGAGAUGGAGAGAGAGAACGAAAUGGGCCAAUUAAAAGCAGGAGACCUCUCUUCCUGCUCCAAACCCCAACUUUCCCAGCAGCAGGCGGUGGGCGGAGGUCAGUUAACCCCGGAGCGGCGAAAGGUGAGGAACGCAGCUCAGAAGUUCGAGGCAUUGAGACCGAUUCGAAUGUAAAGCAAAGGUGGUCAAGAUCGGAGCAAAUGCUUUACACAAGCGGACACCGAAGAGGUGCCUUGUGCUCGGGACAGGAUAUCAUCAUAUACUGUAAGUUCACCAUUAUGUUACUACAGUAUAGAUGAUGUACUAUCCAGGGCUUGACUGUCCAACGAGUCCAAGUUCCAACCAUCACUUUCAGUGAACAAGAGAUCUGUUGAGGUGUGAAUCCAAAGAGCACGGAAAGUCCUCACCCACUGGUGUUAAAGAGCAGUAUGUUGUCACUGAUUCCUGCUGUCGCUGGCAGCUUGCACCCUCAUUUGUUUGCCAGUUUUGUUUUCAGUAGGAUGAUGUUCUUUGUCUGAAAGUCCCACACAAGUUGCAGAACUGUGCUGAAUUCCUUGCUUAAACACCCCCAUGACUGCAAAGUUUGUGCAUGCUCUUGGUGUUCAGUGAAUUCUUUCUCCAGGUCCCUGCCACUCUCGUUUUACAUUGAAAAUCCCUGCUCCCCUCCCUCUGCAUUUACUCUCAGGACGGACUACUGGAUACCGAGGGGGUGUCGGUUAAACCGUUACCAUUACUUGUUUAAGUACUGGUGACGGUUAUAAUCGCUGCUCCCAGAAGCAACUCAGCAGCUGGACAGAGGAGGGGGAAACAUCUGCAUCUCUUCUGAUUUUAAUCCAGCUUCCAUCUCACAGGAAACAUCUCUCUAAUAGCGUUAAUCCGGGCUCCCCACACAGUUUAACCGUGCUCCACCAGCUCCAUGUUAUAAAAUGUAUCGCCACUGAUGUUGGCCCAGCUCCCUCACUAACUCCUCUCCCCACCACUGUGUUAUUUGCUCUUUCUCCACUGAUGUUAAUCCAGGUCCCCCCGAGGACCAGUGACACUGACGUUAUCUUUGCUGCUGUUGAACCAGCACCCUGUGUAACUCAAUGCAUCUCCACUGACAGACACAGUGCCAGUAGGGAUUGCAUCAGCGUUGGUAACAUUCUCCCUCCCAAGCAGACAACAAACUAUAACCUGGACCAAUUUAAAGUACGGAGGAAGAUCACUUGCCAGCUCCUGCUCUAUCACCUUCCAGCCUCUGUGUCACUAUCUCCACCCCUCCCUCCUCACCUGGAUCCACCUAUCGCCUGCCAGCUCCUGCCUCACCCCCUCCCCCUCACCUCUUUAUACUGGCUAUCUCCCCUCUACACUCUCAGCCCUGGUGCAGGCUCUUAAUCCGAAAUGUUGACUAUCCCUUUGCCUGAUGCUGCCUGACCCGCUGAGUUCCCCGGCAGCUUGUCUUUUGAAACCAAAAGUACCCCUGGACAAAUAAUGUCAUCUUGAUGCAUUGCACAAUGCCACAGACGUCAUCUUCUGAAGCCAGUUCCAGUGACCAGUCAGCCCCGCACCAGGCUUAGCUCUAACAGCUUUGACUGGUUUCUAACCUUUCCCACCCUUGUGGCCUGUGCUUUCCUUCCACUAGUGCAGUGAGGCAUUCAGACAUAUGCACAGGCGGGGAACAGAGAGAGAGAGACGAUGUGCAGGCAAAUGGGAUGUUAGAUUGGAACUGGUGGGCCGAAGGGCCUGUUCCUGUGCUGUACUGUUCAGUGUAAAUGCAAACAGGGCAUUUCUUACUCAGUCUAGUUCACGUUCUGAUGCAAUUGGUCAGUCCAGUGAAUCAGACUGUGGUGCAAGUGAAGGUUUAAAGACAAAAGUUCCCUCCCUGUCCUGAACAGACAGGCUGGGCUCAGCAGCAGGAAUCCCUGACCCAUAUAUAACCUGGCACCAAGGAGCUCCGAACAAUUCAGUCAUGGAAAUGCUGCAGCCGGUGUGUGCAGCACCAUCUCCUACAUAACAAUGUAACGUGAGAAGCUGAUGCUUAUGAACAGAGAAGUGAUUGUUUGAUGGUUAGAGACAGGCCAGGUGAUUUGCACAAAUUCCUCUGCUUUAUUUCAAAAUAGUGCCACGCAAUCUGAGGCAGGGGGGGCCCCCUGAUCAUCCAGAUGGUGGGACCUGCAUCAGUGCUGCACUCCAAGUACUGCCCCAACACUGCAGUGGUCUCUCAGUAGUCCCUCCUCACAUCAGUGCAAAACUCCCUCCAUGUCACCCCUCCAACAGUGCGGUGCUCCCUCGGUAUUGCUCCUCUGAUGGUGCAGUACCCCUGUGCUGACCCUCUGACAGUGCAAAAACUCCCUCCAGUACAGCACUCCCUCAGUAUUGACCCUCUCAAUGUACAGUACUCUCUGUGUGCUAGCAGUGCAGCACUCCCCUUGUACUGCCGCUGACAGUGCAGCCCCCCACCCCCGACAGUGGAUUUUAUGCUCCACUCUCUGCUGCAGAUUGUGAAUGCAGAACCUUCAGACUGGAGAUAAGAGUGCUCCCCACCGGGCCAUCUCUCUCAAACAGACAGUUCUUGCUUAAGCCGAGGCGCUGGAAGAUUGAUUGCGGCCCACAGCAGCCGCUGGGUGUUUGGGCAGGCAGGGAGCCCCUGCUUUUGAUGGGAGUGAUUAUCUAACCAAAUGCCAAGUGUGGAUAAAGCCUUACUGCAGCAACUUCUAUCAGACACUUAACGGAUCAGUCACCACUCUCCUUAGAUGAGUCAAUUCCCCUUUUCCUCACGGCUUCCUUCCUCUGUGCAUUUGCUGCGGCUUAAGAUCAGUCAGGUUAUUUUUAAACUUUUGAAGUUCACAGCAACAUUGUUCAACAGUUUUUCAGAAAUAUUCUCUCCGAACACACUGCACGUUGGACCAACAAAACAUACCGUUGGACCCAGCACUCUCACCUUGCAUUAAUCCAUUGCCAUCAUCCUUUGAAGCCAGUGGUGGUGGGAGGGGGGGCAGCCAGCACUCUCCCAGGUGUCCCUUAGUCUCUGUCGGGCUUGUUCAGAACUUUUCUUAGUGUUUGGGAAAUCUUCCAAUCAAUCUGCUUCAAAUGAAAUUCAAUCCAGUAAAUUGUUGCUGCUGAUGCACAGGACAUCAUUUCUGAAUUUCGUUUAGAGGAAUGGGCAAGAGCUUAAAAGGACUUCACUGUAGCCAGAACAUAAGUACGAUCAAAAAUAGCAGAUUACAAAUGACUUGUAAUCUUGAGUUUAGAAGAUGGUGGUAAUCUGUUUGAGGAGUUAAGAGAAUUAGAUACAGGACUCAGAAAUUAUUCUGUUGGGGGUAUGGAAUGCCUCCCGACUUCACCCCUGAACACCCUGGCUGUGAAAGUUCUGUCCCAGGAUCAUUUUACAACCAGUUCUUUUAGGGAUGAGGACAAAAAGCACGAUUGCUCACAAAAUGUGCCAGAGAUCUGGAACUCUCUCCCUUACUGCUGUGAGCCGGAGUGGGACU
Pristis pectinata (smalltooth sawfish) is the source of this 4340-nucleotide long non-coding RNA. RefSeq lists it as uncharacterized. NCBI's taxonomy places the organism in Eukaryota, Metazoa, Chordata, Chondrichthyes, Rhinopristiformes, Pristidae. The transcript is spliced from 3 exons. The record is from RefSeq and is a predicted model, not a curated record.